Molecule: ribosomal RNA, 429 nt
Filed under: uncultured bacterium
Lineage: Bacteria
Description: bacterial SSU rRNA
Rfam family: Bacterial small subunit ribosomal RNA
Source: RNAcentral
AAUGGACGGAAGUCUGAUGCAGCAACGCCGCGUGCGGGAUGACGGCCUGGUUGUAACGCUUCAUCCAUGACGAAGCGAGAGUGACGGUAGUGGGAGAAGAAGCACCGGCUAACUACGUGCCAGCAGCCGCGGUGAUACGUAGGGUGCGAGCGUUGUCCGGAUUUAUUGGGCGUAAAGAGCUUGUAGGCGGUUUGUUGCGUCGGAAGUGAAAACUCAGGGCUUAACUCUGAGCCUGCUUUCGAUACGGGCAGACUUGAGGAAGGUAGGGGAGGAAUGGAAUUCCUGGUGAAGCGGUGGAAUGCGUAGAUAUCAGGAGGAACACCGGUGGCGAAGGCGGUUCUCUGGACCUUUCCUGACGCUGAGAAGCGAAAGCGUGGGGAGCAAACAGGCUUAGAUACCCUGGUAGUCCACGCCGUAAACGGUGGGUAC